UUUAAUGGAGAGUUUGAUCCUGGCUCAGGACGAACGCUGGCGGCGUGCCUAAUACAUGCAAGUCGAGCGGACCCUUCGGGGUUAGCGGCGGACGGGUGAGUAACACGUAGGCAACCUGCCUGUAAGACUGGGAUAACUACCGGAAACGGUAGCUAAGACCGGAUAAGUGAUUCUCUCGCAUGAGAGGAUCAAGAAACACGGGGCAACCUGUGA
RNAcentral lists this ribosomal RNA (213 nucleotides) under Paenibacillus elgii. RNAcentral's name for it is "partial 16S ribosomal RNA". It matches the Rfam family "Bacterial small subunit ribosomal RNA", at positions 1 to 217 of the family's 1533-position model. The record is from RNAcentral. Lineage: Bacteria; Bacillati; Bacillota; Bacilli; Caryophanales; Paenibacillaceae.